This 253-nucleotide ribosomal RNA is filed under the name uncultured bacterium. RNAcentral's name for it is "partial 16S ribosomal RNA". It matches the Rfam family "Bacterial small subunit ribosomal RNA", at positions 524 to 776 of the family's 1533-position model. The record is from RNAcentral.
UACGUAGGGGGCGAGCGUUGUCCGGAAUCAUUGGGCGUAAAGCGCGUGUAGGCGGCCCGGUAAGUCCGCUGUAAAAGUCAAAGGCUCAACCUUUGAAUGUCAGUGGAUACUGCCGGGCUAGAGUCCGGAAGAGGCGAGUGGAACUCCUGGUGUAGCGGUGGAAUGCGCAGAUAUCAGGAAGAACACCAACGGCGAAGGCAGCUCGCUGGGACGGUACUGACGCUGAGACGCGAAAGCGUGGGGAGCGAACAGG